CUGGGAGAGCCUGAGCCGUGACCUAUAGCAACGCAGCGGCGUGACAUCAUAGGUCAUGUGCGCCACAUAGCAUGGCUGGCAGCAUGCCCACCCGUCAGCCCGUACGACCGUCUGCUGUACAGCCCGCACGUCGGCCCCACUCGCCAGCUCGCCAGCCUGCAUUCUUGCCUGCCUGUUUUCCGCUCGCAGCUCUGCACUAUGAGCCGAUGACGGACCUGGGCUCCUUUCUCUUCUACCAGGAGCUCUGAAGAUGACAACUGAGAGAUGAAACUGUAGAAGUAUAUUUCCUGCUCUGAAGAGGACAACUGAGAGAUGAAACUGUAGCAUGUUUUUUUGUGCUCUGAAGGUGACUACUGACAAAAGAAACUGCAGCAUCUUUUUUCUCCUGCUCGGAAGAUGACAACUGAAAUAUGAAACUGUACCAUGCUUUUUUUGGCUAUGAAGAUGACAACUGACAG
Molecule: long non-coding RNA, 458 nt
Organism: Pseudophryne corroboree (corroboree frog)
Lineage: Eukaryota; Metazoa; Chordata; Amphibia; Anura; Myobatrachidae
Exons: 2
Source: RefSeq, a predicted model, not a curated record